GACGAACGCUGGCGGCGUGCUUAACACAUGCAAGUCGAGCGGUAAGGCCCUUUCGGGGGUACACGAGCGGCGAACGGGUGAGUAACACGUGGGUGACUUGCCCUCAGCUCUGGGAUAAGCCCGGGAAACUGGGUCUAAUACCGGAUAUGACCCCAUGACGCACGUUGUGGGGUGGAAAGCCUUGUGCGGCUGAGGAUGGGCCCGCGGCCUAUCAGCUUGUUGGUGGGGUGAUGGCCUACCAAGGCGACGACGGGUAGCCGGCCUGAGAGGGCGACCGGCCACACUGGGACUGAGAUACGGCCCAGACUCCUACGGGAGGCAGCAGUGGGGAAUCUUGCGCAAUGGGCGAAAGCCUGACGCAGCGACGCCGCGUGAGGGAUGACGGCCUCGGUCGUAACUACCU
RNAcentral lists this ribosomal RNA (403 nucleotides) under uncultured bacterium. RNAcentral describes it as "bacterial SSU rRNA". It matches the Rfam family "Bacterial small subunit ribosomal RNA", at positions 28 to 432 of the family's 1533-position model. The record is from RNAcentral.